RNAcentral lists this ribosomal RNA (460 nucleotides) under uncultured bacterium. RNAcentral's name for it is "partial 16S ribosomal RNA". It matches the Rfam family "Bacterial small subunit ribosomal RNA", at positions 338 to 795 of the family's 1533-position model. The record is from RNAcentral.
CCUACGGGUGGCAGCAGUGAGGAAUAUUGGUCAAUGGACGAGAGUCUGAACCAGCCAUGUAGCGUGAAGGAUGACUGCCCUAUGGGUUGUAAACUGCUUUUGUAAAGGGGUAAAACGAGUCACGUGUACCUUUUUGCAUGUACUUUAUGAAUAAGGAUCGGCUAACUCCGUGCCAGCAGCCGCGGUAAUACGGAGGAUCCGAGCGUUAUCCGGAUUUAUUGGGUUUAAAGGGAGCGUAGAUGGUUUGUUAAGUCAGUUGUGAAAGUUUGAGGCUCAACCGCAAAAUUGCAAUUGAUACUGUCAGUCUUGAGUACAGUUGAGGUAGGCGGAAUUCGUGGUGUAGCGGUGAAAUGCUUAGAUAUCACGCAGAACACCGAUUGCGAAGGCAGCUUACUAAGCUGUGACUGACACUGAUGCUCGAAAGUGUGGGUAUCAAACAGGAUUAGAUACCCUUGUAGUC